Molecule: ribosomal RNA, 484 nt
Filed under: uncultured bacterium
Lineage: Bacteria
Description: partial 16S ribosomal RNA
Rfam family: Bacterial small subunit ribosomal RNA
Source: RNAcentral
AUUGAACGCUGGCGGCAGGCCUAACACAUGCAAGUCGAACGGCAGCAGAGAACUUGCUCGUGGUUUCGGCGGCGGACUGGCGAGUGGUGGAUGGAAAUCUCCGUAUUAGCGGUUGCUUGCGUGCGGACACAGGCGCUCUUACCCCAUAAGCGCUUACGAACUACGUGUGAAAGCUUCGGACCUCACGCUAUCACAUGAUCCUAGGUCGGAUUAGCUAGUUGGGGGGGUAAAGGCCUACCAAGGCGACGAUCCGUAACUGGUCUGAGAGGAUGAUCAGUCACACUGGAACUGAGACACGGUCCAGACUCCUACGGGAGGCAGCAGUGGGGAAUAUUGGACAAUGGGCGAAAGCCUGAUCCAGCCAUGCCGCGUGGGUGAAGAAGGCCUUCGGGUUGUAAAGCCCUUUUGGUGGGAAAGAAAAGCAGCAGGUUAAUACCUUGCUGUUCUGACGGUACCCAAAGAAUAAGCACCGGCUAACUUCGUG